GUUUAUGUAGUUUAAUCAAAAACAUUACAUUUUCAAUGUAAAAACAAAAGAAGUCUUUUCAUAAAUA
This 67-nucleotide transfer RNA is filed under the name Ischnura asiatica. RNAcentral's name for it is "tRNA-Glu". It matches the Rfam family "tRNA". Rfam says of the family: Transfer RNA (tRNA) molecules are approximately 80 nucleotides in length. Lineage: Eukaryota; Metazoa; Arthropoda; Insecta; Odonata; Coenagrionidae. RNAcentral also lists the same sequence under 1 other name. The record is from RNAcentral.